CAGGACAAGUACAAUGCAGGCAGUGACAGGGCGAGCUUUACCUAUACCACCCAGUCCGUAUGUCUCAACUCUGACCUGGAGGGACCACCUCUAGA
This 95-nucleotide small RNA is filed under the name Phascolarctos cinereus (koala). Its description in RNAcentral is "TUC338 (ENSPCIG00000036534.1)". The record is from RNAcentral. Lineage: Eukaryota; Metazoa; Chordata; Mammalia; Diprotodontia; Phascolarctidae.